AAACAACGGGAUAUCACAUAUAACAUGAUCCAAAACAGUUAAAUAAUAAUUUAACCAAAAGUCGUAAACAUUGCAGCGGAAUUUAGUUCAUAAUCCAUAAAUCAGUUUGGCACGUAGGCCCCAUCAAAAUAUCUCAAAUGAGUUAAAUCAACUUAACAAAACAUAAUAAUUGUUCAACAUCAUAAAACAUAAACAUGAUAGUCACGUAAGAGAAUGAAGCAUG
This 223-nucleotide long non-coding RNA is filed under the name Medicago truncatula (barrel medic). Its description in RNAcentral is "long non-coding RNA (MTRU_LNC006963)". Lineage: Eukaryota; Viridiplantae; Streptophyta; Magnoliopsida; Fabales; Fabaceae. The record is from RNAcentral.